UACGUAGGGUGCGAGCGUUAAUCGGAAUUACUGGGCGUAAAGCGUGCGCAGGCGGUUGUGCAAGACAGAUGUGAAAUCCCCGGGCUCAACCUGGGAACUGCAUUUGUGACUGCACGGCUGGAGUGCGGCAGAGGGGGAUAGAAUUCCGCGUGUAGCAGCGAAAUGCGUAGAUAUGCGGAGGAACACCGAUGGCGAAGGCAAUCCCCUGGGCCUGCACUGACGCUCAUGCACGAAAGCGUGGGGAGCAAACAGG
This 253-nucleotide ribosomal RNA is filed under the name uncultured bacterium. RNAcentral describes it as "partial 16S ribosomal RNA". It matches the Rfam family "Bacterial small subunit ribosomal RNA", at positions 524 to 776 of the family's 1533-position model. The record is from RNAcentral.